UGUAACAACCAUAUCUAUGCCACACAC
RNAcentral lists this non-coding RNA (27 nucleotides) under Mus musculus (house mouse). The record is from RNAcentral. Lineage: Eukaryota; Metazoa; Chordata; Mammalia; Rodentia; Muridae.